This 405-nucleotide long non-coding RNA is filed under the name Naja naja (Indian cobra). RNAcentral describes it as "lncRNA (ENSNNAG00000016472.1)". The record is from RNAcentral. Lineage: Eukaryota; Metazoa; Chordata; Lepidosauria; Squamata; Elapidae.
CGUGACGAUCCUGGAGACUCUAAUAUGGCGGCGUCCGUGUCGCCGCCGCCUUCGCUGAUUGAGGGGAUGAUGAAAUUGAGCCACAAAAGGUAUAGAGCACUUUUGAAGAAAGAGAAGCGGAAGAAAAGGAGACAAACUCUGGCAAGACUGAGAGAUUCAGAAAAUGUAAAUAAAGAUGAACCAAUUUGUGAAAAAGAACUGAGUGACGAAGAGCAAGAAGUUGAAGAUGAAAGGCAAAGGCUUCAUGAAGAAUGGUUACUAAGAGAAGAAAAGGCUCAAGAAGCUUUCAAAAUCAGGAAGGAAAGAGAAGAUGCAGCCAGAAAACGUCAGGAGGAAGAAGAGGUAUAGUGUAUUUUUUGAAACAGUGAAAUAAGACUCCUUGAGCUAACUUUUGGAUCUCCAAAC